GAGUUUGAUCGUGGCUCAGAUUGAACGCUGGCGGCAUGCCUUACACAUGCAAGUCGAACGGCAGCAUGAUCUAGCUUGCUAGAUUGAUGGCGAGUGGCGAACGGGUGAGUAAUACAUCGGAACGUGCCCUGUAGUGGGGGAUAACCUAGUCGAAAGAUUAGCUAAUACCGCAUACGACCUGAGGGUGAAAGUGGGGGACCGCAAGGCCUCAUGCUAUAGGAGCGGCCGAUGUCUGAUUAGCUAGUUGGUGGGGUAAAGGCCCACCAAGGCGACGAUCAGUAGCUGGUCUGAGAGGGCGAUCAGCCACACUGGGACUGAGACACGGCCCAGACUCCUACGGGAGGCAGCAGUGGGGAAUUUUGGACAAUGGGCGAAAGCCUGAUCCAGCAAUGCCGCGUGUGUGAAGAAGGCCUCGGUGUAAG
RNAcentral lists this ribosomal RNA (422 nucleotides) under uncultured microorganism. RNAcentral's name for it is "bacterial SSU rRNA". It matches the Rfam family "Bacterial small subunit ribosomal RNA", at positions 9 to 429 of the family's 1533-position model. The record is from RNAcentral.